RNAcentral lists this ribosomal RNA (544 nucleotides) under Penicillium simplicissimum. RNAcentral describes it as "eukaryotic LSU rRNA". The stretch from base 162 to 315 matches the Rfam family "5.8S ribosomal RNA". Lineage: Eukaryota; Fungi; Ascomycota; Eurotiomycetes; Eurotiales; Aspergillaceae. The record is from RNAcentral.
ACUCUGGGUCACCUCCCACCCGUGUUUAUUCUACCUUGUUGCUUCGGCGGGCCCGCCUCACGGCCGCCGGGGGGCAUCCGCCCCCGGGCCCGCGCCCGCCGAAGACACCAUUGAACUCUGUCUGAAGAUUGCAGUCUGAGCAGAUUAGCUAAAUCAGUUAAAACUUUCAACAACGGAUCUCUUGGUUCCGGCAUCGAUGAAGAACGCAGCGAAAUGCGAUAAGUAAUGUGAAUUGCAGAAUUCAGUGAAUCAUCGAGUCUUUGAACGCACAUUGCGCCCCCUGGUAUUCCGGGGGGCAUGCCUGUCCGAGCGUCAUUGCUGCCCUCAAGCACGGCUUGUGUGUUGGGCUUCGCCCCCCGGCUCCCGGGGGGCGGGCCCGAAAGGCAGCGGCGGCACCGCGUCCGGUCCUCGAGCGUAUGGGGCUUCGUCACCCGCUCUGUAGGCCCGGCCGGCGCCCGCCGGCGACCCCAAUCAAUCUUUUCAGGUUGACCUCGGAUCAGGUAGGGAUACCCGCUGAACUUAAGCAUAUCAAUAAGCGGAGGAA